This 819-nucleotide small RNA is filed under the name Pan troglodytes (chimpanzee). RNAcentral's name for it is "processed transcript". Lineage: Eukaryota; Metazoa; Chordata; Mammalia; Primates; Hominidae. The record is from RNAcentral.
UCCUCCCAGUGCACAGGCUGGUUGGAGUUUCUCUGGGGACCCCUUUCCACCUGGCUGUCUCACUUCUUUCUUCAUGGAACAUUCUCUUUCCUUAGCUUCUUUUUUAUCAUUGUCUUUCAAUAUUUAUUAUUCCUCUCUGGCUGUGCUCAGUUUUUCCUUCAUCUUGUCUUUAAAUGUGUGUAUUCUAGAGGCCCAGCCCUGGGCCCUCUUUUCAUUCCCCUGAGUCCUCUUUCUCCCUGGUAGAUAAUCAUGCCUAAUAAUGUUUUGGUACAUCCAUAAACCUACCAAUCCUGAUGAACCUCCAGUUGCUGAACAGCCCAAACCACUGUACCCAUAUCGAACAAUUGGUUGUGUUUUCAACCAUCAGAUGUUCCUGGGAAAUUGUCAACCCUCUGAUGCAGUAGAAACCUGUGUAUUUGAUUUGAAUGAUGAAUCCAAAUGGAAACCCAUGAGUGAGGAAGCAAUUAAAUCUGUGUGUGCUCCUGGAGCUACAACAUCCCUUCCUCCCUUUCCACCUCUGUGUGCAUCCACAAUUGACGCAUCAGUAACAAGUAAUGAAAUUGAAAUGCAGCUGAGGCUCCUGGUGUCAGAACACAGGAAGGAUCUUGGUCUCACUACUGUUUGGGAAGACCAGCUCUCCUACCUUUUAUCACCAGCUUUGGCUUCUUAUGAAUUUGAGCGUACAACAAGUAUAUCAGCAGGCAAUGAAGAAUUUCAAGAUGCCAUAAGAAGGGCUGUACCUGAUGGUCACACAUUUAAAGGGUUCCCAAUACAUUUUGUGUAUAGAAAUGCAAGACGUGCAUUUGCCACAUGUCUUCG